RNAcentral lists this ribosomal RNA (458 nucleotides) under uncultured bacterium. RNAcentral's name for it is "partial 16S ribosomal RNA". It matches the Rfam family "Bacterial small subunit ribosomal RNA", at positions 338 to 795 of the family's 1533-position model. The record is from RNAcentral.
CCUACGGGAGGCAGCAGUGAGGAAUAUUGGUCAAUGGGCGAGAGCCUGAACCAGCCAAGUCGCGUGAGGGAGUACUGCCCUAUGGGUUGUAAACCUCUUUUGUCGGGGAGCAAAAGCCGGACGUGUCCGGCUGUGAGAAUAACCGAAGAAAAAGCAUCGGCUAACUCCGUGCCAGCAGCCGCGGUAAUACGGAGGAUGCGAGCGUUAUCCGGAUUUAUUGGGUUUAAAGGGUGCGCAGGCGGAUUGUUAAGUCAGCGGUAAAAUCGUGGGGCUCAACCCCAUCCAGCCGUUGAAACUGGGGAUCUAGAGUGGGCGAGAGGUAUGCGGAAUGCGUGGUGUAGCGGUGAAAUGCAUAGAUAUCACGCAGAACCCCGAUUGCGAAGGCAGCAUACCGGUGCACAACUGACGCUCAGGCACGAAAGCGUGGGUAUCGAACAGGAUUAGAUACCCGGGUAGUC